RNAcentral lists this ribosomal RNA (438 nucleotides) under Serratia sp. AC31. Its description in RNAcentral is "bacterial SSU rRNA". It matches the Rfam family "Bacterial small subunit ribosomal RNA", at positions 333 to 762 of the family's 1533-position model. The record is from RNAcentral. Lineage: Bacteria; Pseudomonadati; Pseudomonadota; Gammaproteobacteria; Enterobacterales; Yersiniaceae.
AGACUCCUACGGGAGGCAGCAGUGGGGAAUAUUGCACAAUGGGCUCAAGCCUGAUGCACGCCAUGCCGCGUGUGUGAAGAAGGCCUUCGGGUUGUAAAGCACUUUCAGCGAGGAGGAAGGUGGUGAACUUAAUACGUUCAUCAAUUGACGUUACUCGCAGAAGAAGCACCGGCUAACUCCGUGCCAGCAGCCGCGGUAAUACGGAGGGUGCAAGCGUUAAUCGGAAUUACUGGGCGUAAAGCGCACGCAGGCGGUUUGUUAAGUCAGAUGUGAAAUCCCCGGGCUCAACCUGGGAACUGCAUUUGAAACUGGCAAGCUAGAGUCUCGUAGAGGGGGGUAGAAUUCCAGGUGUAGCGGUGAAAUGCGUAGAGAUCUGGAGGAAUACCGGUGGCGAAGGCGGCCCCCUGGACGAAGACUGACGCUCAGGUGCGAAAGCGU